Molecule: transfer RNA, 74 nt
Filed under: Alectura lathami (australian brush-turkey)
Lineage: Eukaryota; Metazoa; Chordata; Aves; Galliformes; Megapodiidae
Description: tRNA-Leu
Rfam family: tRNA
About the family: Transfer RNA (tRNA) molecules are approximately 80 nucleotides in length. Their secondary structure includes four short double-helical elements and three loops (D, anti-codon, and T loops). Further hydrogen bonds mediate the characteristic L-shaped molecular structure. tRNAs have two regions of fundamental functional importance: the anti-codon, which is responsible for specific mRNA codon recognition, and the 3' end, to which the tRNAs corresponding amino acid is attached (by aminoacyl-tRNA synthetases). tRNAs cope with the degeneracy of the genetic code in two manners: having more than one tRNA (with a specific anti-codon) for a particular amino acid; and 'wobble' base-pairing, i.e. permitting non-standard base-pairing at the 3rd anti-codon position.
Source: RNAcentral
GCUAGCGUGGCAGAGCUCGGCAAAUGCAAAAGGCUUAAGUCCUUUCCCCAGAGGUUCAAGUCCUCUCCCUAGCU